Molecule: ribosomal RNA, 548 nt
Filed under: Neochelon falcipinnis (sicklefin mullet)
Lineage: Eukaryota; Metazoa; Chordata; Actinopteri; Mugiliformes; Mugilidae
Description: partial 16S ribosomal RNA
Rfam family: Bacterial large subunit ribosomal RNA
Source: RNAcentral
GGUCCCGCCUGCCCUGUGACCCCUGGUUUAACGGCCGCGGUAUUUUGACCGCGCGAAGGUAGCGCAAUCACUUGUCCUUUAAAUGGGGACCUGUAUGAAUGGCAUAACGAGGGCUUAACUGUCUCCUUUCCCCGGUCAAUGAAAUUGAUCUUCCCGUGCAGAAGCGGGAAUCCUAACAUAAGACGAGAAGACCCUAUGGAGCUUUAGACCUUAGAGCAGAUCAUGUUUUGUUAUCCCUUAAGCAAGUAAUAACUAUUGAACCCCUGUUCUACUGUCUUUGGUUGGGGCGACCACGGGGAAGAAAAAAACCCCCACGUGGACUGGGAGCACACUACUCCUUCAACUACGAGCCACAGCUCUAAUGCGCAGAAUCUCUGACCAUAAGAUCCGGCAAAGCCGAUCAACGGACCGAGUUACCCUAGGGAUAACAGCGCAAUCCCCUUUAAGAGUCCAUAUCGACAAGGGGGUUUACGACCUCGAUGUUGGAUCAAGACAUCCUAAUGGUGCAGCCGCUAUUAAGGGUUCGUUUGUUCAACGAUUAAAGUCUU